This 499-nucleotide ribosomal RNA is filed under the name uncultured Glomeromycotina. RNAcentral's name for it is "partial small subunit ribosomal RNA". It matches the Rfam family "Eukaryotic small subunit ribosomal RNA", at positions 591 to 1092 of the family's 1831-position model. The record is from RNAcentral. Lineage: Eukaryota; Fungi; Glomeromycota.
CCAAUAGCGUAUAUUAAAGUUGCUGCAGUUAAAAAGCUCGUAGUUGAAUUUCGGGACUAAUAUGUCGGUCGUGCUUCGGUACGUACUGGCAUCGUUGGUUUCUCCCUUCUGACGAACCAUGAUGUCAUUUAUUUGGUGUCGUGGGGAAUCAGGACUGUUACUUUGAAAAAAUUAGAGUGUUUAAAGCAGGCUCACGCUUGAAUACAUUAGCAUGGAAUAAUGAAAUAGGACGUUUGAUUCUAUUUUGUUGGUUUCUAGGAUCGACGUAAUGAUUAAUAGGGAUAGUUGGGGGCAUUAGUAUUCAAUUGUCAGAGGUGAAAUUCUUGGAUUUAUUGAAGACUAACUACUGCGAAAGCAUUUGCCAAGGAUGUUUUCAUUAAUCAAGAACGAAAGUUAGGGGAUCGAAGACGAUCAGAUACCGUCGUAGUCUUAACCAUAAACUAUGCCGACUAGGGAUCGGAUGAUGUUAAUUUUUUAAUGACUCAUUCGGCGCCUUACG